UCGAACGUAAGAUGACUGUAGGUGAAAGCUUACAUCUCUUCGGAGCAUUUACGAGGUGCUGCAUGGUUGUCGUCAGCUCGUGCCGUGAGGUGUCGGGUUAAGUCCCAUAACGAGCGCAACCCUACCUUUAGUUGCCAUCAGGUAAUGCUGGGGACUCUAAAGGAACUGCCUACGCAAGUAGUGAGGAAGGCGGGGAUGACGUCAAAUCAGCACGGCCCUUACGUCCAGGGCUACACACGUGCUACAAUGGCCGAUACAGAGGGCAGCUACCUGGUGACAGGAUGCAAAUCUCCAAAGUCGGUCUCAGUUCGGAUCGGAGUCUGCAACCCGACUCCGUGAAGUUGGAUUCGCUAGUAAUCGCGCAUCAGCCAUGGCGCGGUGAAUACGUUCCCGGGCCUU
This 399-nucleotide ribosomal RNA is filed under the name uncultured Sphingobacteriales bacterium. RNAcentral describes it as "bacterial SSU rRNA". It matches the Rfam family "Bacterial small subunit ribosomal RNA", at positions 981 to 1382 of the family's 1533-position model. Lineage: Bacteria; Pseudomonadati; Bacteroidota; Sphingobacteriia; Sphingobacteriales. The record is from RNAcentral.